AUGUACACACAUUGUUCUAGCUACUGUUUUUUAAGGUAACCGUAUGUCAUGAACAUCAAUGACAAUAGACAUUUUUAAUGACCUCAUAAUAUUUUCUUGUUUGCAUGUAUAUUUAUUAAAUUAGUGUCCUAUUGUUGAACAUUUGAGUCAUUUCUGAUUAUUUUUCUUAUUCUAUGCAAUGAUUUAAUUAACAUCUUUAGUUUUCUGAUAUGAAACAUCAAAACUCUGCUUUGGUGUAGACUUAGGGAAAGAUAGAGGCCACCUGCAGAAGGCUUUAUCUUCGUGUUUUAAUUUUCUUCUGUCAUUUGAAUUUGUACUUUGUACUUUGUGUUGGUGGAGAUACUGGGGGUUUAACCCAGGAGCACUUUACCACUGAGCUAUAUCCCAACCCUGGUUUUUUGUUGUGUUUUUGUUUUUUUGGUUGGGGAGAGAUACCUGGGAUUGAACUCAGGGGCACUUACCCACUGAGCCACAUCUCCAACCCUAUUUUAUAUUUUAUUUAGAGACAAGGUCUUACUGAGUUGGUUAGCGCCUCACCAUUGCUGAGGAUGGCUUUGAACUCAUGGUCCUCCUGCCUCAGCCUCUCAAGCCACUAAGAUUAUAGGCAUGUACCACUGUGCCAGGCAUGCUUUUGAUUUUUUUACUCUGAGACAGGGUCUCACUGCUAAGUUGCUGAACCUUCUAUCCUAACUUUAAAAAUGUUAACAGGGAUUACUUGAGCUGUGGGAUGAUUAGCCAUUACUUGCUCUUCUUUAUUUUCUAAAAAGAAGUUAACCAUACACAUAACUAAAUUCUCUUACUCAUUUAUUCAUCCUAGGUUUCCUCUCUU
Molecule: long non-coding RNA, 829 nt
Filed under: Marmota monax (woodchuck)
Lineage: Eukaryota; Metazoa; Chordata; Mammalia; Rodentia; Sciuridae
Source: RNAcentral